CAUAGAGCGUUGGAACCACCUGAUCCCUUCCCGAACUCAGAAGUGAAACGACGCAUCGCCGAUGGUAGUGUGGGGUCUCCCCAUGUGAGAGUAGGUC
RNAcentral lists this ribosomal RNA (97 nucleotides) under Pseudomonas aeruginosa MPAO1/P2. The record is from RNAcentral. Lineage: Bacteria; Pseudomonadati; Pseudomonadota; Gammaproteobacteria; Pseudomonadales; Pseudomonadaceae.